UGCAGUGGCUACUGAGUGAGUGAUGU
RNAcentral lists this non-coding RNA (26 nucleotides) under Mus musculus (house mouse). Lineage: Eukaryota; Metazoa; Chordata; Mammalia; Rodentia; Muridae. The record is from RNAcentral.